CUUUCUUUUUUAACGUUUAUUUAUUUAGUUUGAGGGGAGGGGCAGAGAGAGAGGGAGAGAGAGAAUCCCAAGCAGGCUCCCCACUGUCAGCAUAGAGCACGGGGCUCCAUCUCCCCGACCGUGAGAUCAUGACCUGAGCUGAUCAAGAGUUGGACACUCAACAGACUGAGCCACCCGGGCACCCCUGUCCAGCACUUUGAAUGAUAGUUUAUGCAGCACUUUUCACCUUGUUCUCUCACUGGCCCACAGCAAAAUGGUGCACAUACACACCACUUGCAAAGUCUAAGGUCUAGUUAGGUUCUCAGGAAGUCAGGCUGGUGGGGGGCAAGGGUAAGGCAGGAAGCCUUCACGUGGGGAAGCAUGAUGACACCCCUGCCCCCAGCUCCAAACACUUUCAUUUUUCCAAAGUGAAGUUCGCAGUAUUGUUUUCUCAUUAUAAAAAAUAACGUGCAUUCCCCCAAGAUACCUGGAAAUAUAAACAAAGUUACCCACAAUGCACCUUCCUCUCCCUGCUUUUACCAGUGAGUGCAGAAUCCUUCUAGAGUUUUCUCUGUACCAAGAUCUCUCUGCAGCUAAUUACGGCAGGAUCCUGCUUCUGCCCACAUGGGGGCAGAGGUGGUUACCCCACAAGGCUGCGAGGAGAAGUUCCAGACCAUGGUUUCAUACUUGGGGCGUUUCUACUAUCUCUGCUGGUUGGCACGUUCCUGCCAGAUGGAAGCCCCAUCUUGGCCAGAACCUCACCAGGUAAUCAGGUGACAUGCUACCCUCUUCCUGAGUACCACCUCACCUGUCUUCCCCCUACCAAUCUGACACUGAGCUCUGCUGGAGAUGUGAGUAGUUGCUUUCCUGAGCCAGCAGGUAAGAUUUCAUGCUGAUCCCGGCCCAGCAGGAAAACAGGUGCCCCCCACCCCCCAUUAGGAUAAUUUGACGAAGGCUUGAUAAGGGGACUGUUCACAAAGGUGUGAGCAGAGUGUAAGAAACCAGAGGGAGAGUGCAGGCGUGAGCUAGAAUAUGGGGCCCCUAGGGCCCCGAAGCCCAAAGCAGCGGGGUGGUUACCAGAACACAAGGAGAGCGCUGCCUGGACCGCCAUUUCCUGCGCCCGUCCGUCCAUUUCCUACCAUUGCUGAACCAGUCAGAAACCUGAAGAUAAGGAAGCCUGUCGCCAUAACUGUAAGUUCAGCCUCCCCGACCGACCGAGAGCAGAGCCAAGUCAAUUUAGGGAAGGAAGUGGAGGGGAAAAAAAAAAAAAAGUGCCAGCCCAGGAGGCCAGGACAACGCCAAGUAAGAGGAUGAGGAGAUGUGACAGUAUCUGCCACUCACUCCAACACAUCGCCCAAGAUGGGGAAGGCCUCUCGGCUCAGCCCUCUGGAGUUGUCUCCCUGCACAUGCCUUCCUUCCUGAUGCCGCUCCCCUCCUUGUUCCUCUCUCAGCCCUUCACAGCAUCAUUUUCCAGCAUCUCUCCCCAGUUCCAAGACUCCCCACCCUCCCUGAUCUAGAAAGCCUCCAGGCCCCCUGCACCUUCUUUAGUCACACAAACGCUGCCUUCAGGCAGGAGCGCUUGGGAUAGUUUGCUGCCUCUGAAGUGUUGGGUGAGCCCUGGCCUGAGCUCUGAGCUCUGGAACCGGCUCACCUUCCCCACCAGCCACUUAGCAGCCACUGAGAGUAAUCACCCCUCAUAAGAGUGAGGGUAUUCAUUUUCUUGCUAAAACAGCCCAGGCUGUUCUUGUGAGGAAAGGAUAUCAUCCUCAAAGCAAGAUGCUUGUGGUCAUCUGUCUAGUGAAGUCCGUCUAUAACGGGGGCUUUAAAAUGCAGUACUUUUGUCGCUGCUAUUCUCAACGUGCCCCUAUGAUAAAGUCUCACUGGCUAUUGGUGCUGUGUGCAUUGGUUCUUUAAAAACAUUUUUUUGGACCUGGCUAUCAUUUUUUAAAUUUUAGAUUAAUUUAAUGGAUUUUCUUAGGUUUUUCCAAGGGGAAGCCCUCUUCUCUCUUCCUUUCCCAAUAUCUAUACCUCUUACAUCUUUUUCUUGCCCUGGUAUUGGCUAGAACCCCCAGAACAAAGUUGAAUAACAGUGGUGAUUGCUGGAAACCUUGCUAUGUUCUUGAUUUUAAUGGGAAUGUCACAUUGUUUUACUGGUAAGCAUGACAUGUUCAAGUAUGGCAUUUUUUUUAACGUGUAUUUGUUUUUGAGAGAGACAGAGACAGACAGUGAGUGGGGGAGGGGCAGAAAGAGAAGGAGACAGAAUUCGAAGCAGGCUCCAGGCUCUGAGCUGUCAGCACAGAGCCCGAUGCAGGGCUCAAACCCAUGAACUGCAAGAUCAUGGCCUGAGCCGAAGUCGGAAGCUUAGCCGGCUCAGCCACCCAAGCUCCCCCAGGUAUGACAUGUUUUACUGUUUGUUUCAGGGGGCUUCCCUUUAUUCUGCUAAGGAAAAAAUAAGAGUUUUUUUUUUUAACUCAGUAAUGAAUAUUGAAUUAUAUCAAAGAUAUAUUUGGCAUCUGCUUACAUUUUUUCCUUGACUUGUGAGUAUAACUUGCGGAUAUACUUCUUAAUAUGAAACCAUCCUUAUGCCCUUGAGAUAAAUUUUAUUUGGUCAUAAUGUAUUAUUCAGAUAAUACACUACUAGAUUCAAUUUGCUGAAUCUGGCACUUAUAGUCAUAAAUGAUGUUGCAUUAUGGGGUUUUUUUGUUUGUUUUUUCUUUUGCUAUACUUUGUAGAUUUUGGAAUCAAGAUCAUUCUAAUCAUUAGAAUGAACAGGGGAGGUUUUCUACCUUAGAAUCAUCUCUCUCUCAAAGGUUUGAUGGAACUUGGCUGCAAACCCAUUUUGGGUCCAUCUCUGUUUGGAGAGAGACAGAGCAUGAGCAGGGGAGGGGCAGACACAGAAUCAGAAGCAGGCUCCAGGCUCUGAGCUGUCGGCACAGAGCCCGACGCGGGGCUCGAGCGCACAGACUGCGAGAUCAUGACCCGUGCCAAAGUCGGACGCUCAACAGACUGAGCCACGCAGGAGCUCCCCAUCUUAUUUUUUUUAUGUGUUUCAAACAUGUGGUCCCAGCUCCGCCAAACAGAGAUGUUCCUGCCCAGGAAUCCGAGUCUGGAGAAGUUGACCCAGAGAUGUGGAGAGAGAGCCAGGAAAGAGUGUGGAUUGCUUGAGUAUUAAUCCCCAAGAGACUAAAGUAAGAAGUGACUGAGUUUCCCUCAGUGCUCAAGUUUAAGUUUUCUACCAUCAGUAGAAUUGGGGCUGGAUCCAGAGAAACAGAGUUCCCUUUUCACAGAUCUAAACUGUGACUGGGAAAUGUCUCACACACACACACACACACACACACACACACACACACACACAUCAGUGACAUUUAAAGAGUGCUAAGUGUCAUCUAUUUAGUCAGAAAAAAAUCCUCCAAGAUAGGUAUUGCUAUCUUCGUAUCAACACCUGGAUGAGAGUCACAGAGAGCGGGCGGCAGCAGAGCCAGAACUCGGGUGAGGUACACCUGGCUUCAGGCCCAUGCUCCACGCGCUUAAACAUUCCAGUUCGUAUUCUAAUUGUCAUUCGUCUCUGAACAUCCGCUUUGAUUUUGCCUUUCAGUGGAGGGAUUUAAAAAAACGUAUAAAUGGUUCAGAAUUUGUCAGUUAACCUUCUGUUACUAAGUUUUAGUUUCAUUACGUUGUGCCCAGAAAAUGUGACUAAAUGGUUCCACUUUCAGGAAUUUAUCAUGGUUCGCUUUAAAGACUAAUA
Molecule: long non-coding RNA, 3724 nt
Organism: Neofelis nebulosa (Clouded leopard)
Lineage: Eukaryota; Metazoa; Chordata; Mammalia; Carnivora; Felidae
Exons: 3
Source: RefSeq, a predicted model, not a curated record